UUUCUUACUCCUUUCUCCAGAGGUCCAUUAGGGUGUGAGAUUCAAGAGAGGGCUGUCAAGGACAUCCAGGUGCAGAUGGUGGCUUUGGAGAUGGAAGGUCCCAGGGCUUUGUCUCUGCUCUCCACUGAGGUGUAUCAGUCAUUUGCUUAUCCAGACAUGCCUACUGGACACCUACUACAGUGUGACAGGCAUCCACCCUGUGAAGUCACCCUGUCAGUGAAGUUAGCACAUCCCUUGUCUUUGGGUACCUAUUAUGUAAGACCUAAGGAGGAAAGUGCAGCUGUGUGCUCGCUACAGAAGGCUGUAGCUAGUGUGUGAGUUGGAUCAGUGUGGAGGGAAGAGACCUAUAUGGAAGACUGAGCCAAGCCUUCUGGGAAGGAGAGACCUUGACCUCAUACCUGAAAGAAACUGGAUGAGCAAGUGAGAUCCAAGUAAUAGGAGGCAAAGUGUCCAUCCUCCCCCAAGGAAGGGGUUGCAGCAUGGCUGUGCUGUCCAAGCAUCCCUGCCUGCCCCCUGCAGCCCACACACCAGGACUCAGGUGGGAGGCAGGAGUUGCUCCAGAGGAUCUGAAUAUUUUUGCAUAAUUGCCCUCAUUUUGUUUAACUGCCUACUAAUUUGUUUAUGAGAUUACAUAAAAGCGGUAGACACACUAGUAGCUAAAUACAGAACUUUACGCUCCCCACAAAGAGCCAUCAAAAUGACAUGCAAAUGUUUCUAUAUUUAUCUCUUGCUUUGCCGCCAAUUCUUCAUAUGGACGUAAUUUGUAUGUGUGCAUAUUUAUGUUAAUAAUUUUAUUUAUAGAACACUAUUAGACAACUUAUGACAUCAUUUAUUAAACCCCGAAGAAUGCUUAGCUUUCACAUUUAUUUCUUGUUUUUAAUUAUUUUAAUGGGUUCAUUGUCAGUUGUUUCCUGGUAGAUAAUGUGUAUAGAUGUAGUCUUUGGCCAGAGUGAUUGCCUUGUCAUUAGACAGCCUAAAUGAGACCAGCUCAUUUGGCUGGGUUAUUCCAUUUAUUGCUUAUUUAUUUAUUCACUUAUGUGUUUGAGGGGCUAAGUGUUGAACUUUGGGCUUCACAUAUGCCAGGCAGAUGCUCAAACACUGAGCCAUCUCCCAAACUUUUUUCUUUUCUUUCUUUUUAAAUUAAAUAUUUAUUUAUUUUUUAUUUUGAGACAAGAUCUUAGUAAGCUGUCUAGCCUGACUUUGAGCUCCCUCUAUAGCCCAAGCUGGCCUUAAACUUGAAAUUCUUCUGCCUCCAUUCCUGAAGUAGCUCAGAUUAUUGGCUGUGCAGCACCAAGCCUGGUUUAGUUUCCUCUUGAAGCCAGGAAGGCUGUCGAAUUCAUGUUGUAGACAAAGGGGAUUGCUUUUUUUAAAGCCUAGAAGUCAUAGAGCAAAACUACUCAGAAAUCACACUUAGGUGACAGAGUGAUAAGAAAAGUUCCUUCAGGAGCCACUACCACUUUACCUGUGGAAACUCUUGAGUCGAGAGAGGCGAAAAGGGCCUUGGUUCAGACCAAGACUCAGAGGGAUAGAUUGGAGGAUUUUCUUUCAGGAUAACCUAGUGUUCUUUUAGAGUUAGCAUUCUAAUUAUUAUCAUUUCAAUGUAAAUCAGCCUCUAAAAUCACUCCAUUCAGAAAGGUUAGGAAGGGAUAUGGAAUUUGGCUAAAAUCAUUUAAAUUACACACAAUAACAUUGAGUUCAUUAUUCUUCCUGUUCCCUCUAUCCAGCUAGGUUUGUUGUUUUAUUUGGGUUUUGUUGGGGGAUUUUGUUGGUUUUCUGUGCCGACUUAUUCUCUAAAAUAGGGACCAAGAGCUGAGUAACAGCUUACAUAUCUUUUCCUGGAAGCACUUUGUUAAGGUAAAACCUGCCUCCUGUAGUAUACAAGGGUAAGUGUAUCUUCCAAAAAUAAAAAAAAAAAA
RNAcentral lists this long non-coding RNA (1916 nucleotides) under Mus musculus (house mouse). RNAcentral describes it as "long non-coding RNA chr2:135114409-135116325". The record is from RNAcentral. Lineage: Eukaryota; Metazoa; Chordata; Mammalia; Rodentia; Muridae.